GUAGGUGGCGAGCGUUGUCCGGAAUUAUUGGGCGUAAAGCGCGCGCAGGCGGUUCUUUAAGUCUGAUGUGAAAGCCCACGGGCUCAACCGUGGAGGGUCAUUGGAAACUGGAGAACUUGAGUACAGAAGAGGAAAGCGGAAUUCCACGUGUAGCGGUGAAACGCGUAGAGAUGUGGAGGAACACCAGUGGCGAAGGCGGCUUUCUGGUCUGUAACUGACGCUGAGGCGCGAAAGCGUGGGGAGCAAACAGGAUUAGAUACCCUGGUAGUCCACGCCGUAAACGAUGAGUGCUAAGUGUUAGGGGGUUUCCGCCCCUUAGUGCUGCAGCUAACGCAUUAAGCACUCCGCCUGGGGAGUACGGCCGCAAAGGCUG
RNAcentral lists this ribosomal RNA (373 nucleotides) under uncultured organism. RNAcentral's name for it is "partial 16S ribosomal RNA". It matches the Rfam family "Bacterial small subunit ribosomal RNA", at positions 527 to 896 of the family's 1533-position model. The record is from RNAcentral.